UGGGGAAUAUUGGACAAUGGGCGCAAGCCUGAUCCAGCCAUGCCGCGUGAGUGAAGAAGGCCCUCGGGUUGUAAAGCUCUUUUGUCCGGAAAGAAAAGCUUCGGGUUAAUACCCCGGGGUUCUGACGGUACCGGAAGAAUAAGCACCGGCUAACUUCGUGCCAGCAGCCGCGGUAAUACGAAGGGUGCAAGCGUUACUCGGAAUUACUGGGCGUAAAGCGUGCGUAGGUGGUUGUUUAAGUCUGAUGUGAAAGCCCUGGGCUCAACCUGGGAUGGCAUUGGAAACUGGGCAGCUAGAGUGCGGUAGAGGGUAGUGGAAUUCCCGGUGUAGCAGUGAAAUGCGUAGAGAUCGGGAGGAACAUCUGUGGCGAAGGCGACUGCCUGGACCAGCACUGACACUGAGGCACGAAAGCGUGGGGAGCAAACA
Molecule: ribosomal RNA, 426 nt
Filed under: uncultured bacterium
Lineage: Bacteria
Description: bacterial SSU rRNA
Rfam family: Bacterial small subunit ribosomal RNA
Source: RNAcentral